AGGGUUUGAUCCUGGCUCAGGAUGAACGCUGGCGGCGUGCUUAACACAUGCAAGUCGAACGAACCUUCGGGUUAGUGGCGGACGGGUGAGUAACGCGUGAGAAUCUGCCCUCAGGAGGGGGAUAACGGUUGGAAACGACCGCUAAUACCCCAUAUGCCUACUGGUGAAACGAAUUUCGCCUGAGGAUGAGCUCGCGUCUGAUUAGCUAGUUGGUGAGGUAAUGGCUCACCAAGGCUUCGAUCAGUAGCUGGUCUGAGAGGAUGAUCAGCCACACUGGGACUGAGACACGGCCCAGACUCCUACGGGAGGCAGCAGUGGGGAAUUUUCCGCAAUGGGCGAAAGCCUGACGGAGCAACGCCGCGUGAGGGACGAAGGCCUCUGGGCUGUAAACCUCUUUUCUCAAGGAAGAAGAUAUGACGGUACUUGAGGAAUAAGCCACGGCUAAUUCCGUGCCAGCAGCCGCGGUAAUACGGGAGUGGCAAGCGUUAUCCGGAAUUAUUGGGCGUAAAGCGUCCGCAGGCGGCUUUUCAAGUCUGCUGUUAAAGCGUGGAGCUUAACUCCAUCAUGGCAGUGGAAACUGAAAGGCUUGAGUAUGGUAGGGGCAGAGGGAAUUCCCGGUGUAGCGGUGAAAUGCGUAGAUAUCGGGAAGAACACCAGUGGCGAAGGCGCUCUGCUGGGCCAUUACUGACGCUCAUGGACGAAAGCCAGGGGAGCGAAAGGGAUUAGAUACCCCUGUAGUCCUGGCCGUAAACGAUGAACACUAGGUGUCGGGGGAAUCGACCCCUUCGGUGUCGUAGCUAACGCGUUAAGUGUUCCGCCUGGGGAGUACGCACGCAAGUGUGAAACUCAAAGGAAUUGACGGGGGCCCGCACAAGCGGUGGAGUAUGUGGUUUAAUUCGAUGCAACGCGAAGAACCUUACCAGGGUUUGACAUCCUGCGAACCUCUUAGAAAUUUGAGGGUGCCUUCGGGAAUGCAGUGACAGGUGGUGCAUGGCUGUCGUCAGCUCGUGUCGUGAGAUGUUGGGUUAAGUCCCGCAACGAGCGCAACCCACGUUUUUAGUUGCCAGCAUUUAGUUGGGCACUCUAGAAAGACCGCCGGUGAUAAACCGGAGGAAGGUGUGGAUGACGUCAAGUCAUCAUGCCCCUUACACCCUGGGCUACACACGUACUACAAUGCUACGGACAAAGGGCAGCAAACUCGCGAGAGCUAGCAAAUCCCAUAAACCGUGGCUCAGUUCAGAUCGUAGGCUGCAACUCGCCUACGUGAAGUAGGAAUCGCUAGUAAUCGCAGGUCAGCAUACUGCGGUGAAUACGUUCCCGGGCCUUGUACACACCGCCCGUCACACCAUGGAAGUUGGCCAUGCCCGAAGUCGUUACUCCAACCCUUGUGGAGGAGGACGCCGAAGGUGGGGCUAAUGACUGGGGUGAAGUCGUAACAAGGUAGCCGUA
This 1449-nucleotide ribosomal RNA is filed under the name uncultured bacterium. Its description in RNAcentral is "bacterial SSU rRNA". It matches the Rfam family "Bacterial small subunit ribosomal RNA". The record is from RNAcentral.